UAGGGAAUCUUCGGCAAUGGACGGAAGUCUGACCGAGCAACGCCGCGUGAGUGAAGAAGGUUUUCGGAUCGUAAAGCUCUGUUGUUAGAGAAGAACGUUGGUAGGAGUGGAAAAUCUACCAAGUGACGGUAACUAACCAGAAAGGGACGGCUAACUACGUGCCAGCAGCCGCGGUAAUACGUAGGUCCCGAGCGUUGUCCGGAUUUAUUGGGCGUAAAGCGAGCGCAGGCGGUUCUUUAAGUCUGAAGUUAAAGGCAGUGGCUUAACCAUUGUACGCUUUGGAAACUGGAGGACUUGGGUGCAGAAGGGGGGGGUGGAAUUCCAUGUGUAAGGGUGAAAUGCGUAGAUAUAUGGAGGAACACCGGGGGGGAAAGGGGCUCUCUGGUCUGUAACUGACGCUGGGGGUCGAAAGCGUGGGGAGCAAACAGG
Molecule: ribosomal RNA, 429 nt
Filed under: Bacillota bacterium
Lineage: Bacteria; Bacillati; Bacillota
Description: Firmicutes bacterium partial 16S ribosomal RNA
Rfam family: Bacterial small subunit ribosomal RNA
Source: RNAcentral